Etheostoma spectabile (orangethroat darter) is the source of this 182-nucleotide long non-coding RNA. RefSeq lists it as uncharacterized. The record is from RefSeq and is a predicted model, not a curated record. Lineage: Eukaryota; Metazoa; Chordata; Actinopteri; Perciformes; Percidae. The transcript is spliced from 3 exons.
CAGAUAGUCUAGCUAGCUGUCUGGAUUUACCUUGCAGAGAUCUGAGGAGUAGUUAACCAUAGUCCUUAGAAAUUGACCGGGGUUUAAAAUUCCAACACAAAGAAAGGGGACGGUGAUGGAUAUCCGGCUGAAAAGACUUAAACUUGACGGAAUUUCCAGCAGCACCUGAACAAUCCCGGAAG